This 346-nucleotide transfer-messenger RNA is filed under the name Clostridia bacterium. It matches the Rfam family "transfer-messenger RNA". Rfam says of the family: Bacterial tmRNA, also known as 10Sa RNA or SsrA, is named for its dual tRNA and mRNA-like properties. Its role is to liberate the mRNA from a stalled ribosome. Lineage: Bacteria; Bacillati; Bacillota; Clostridia. The record is from RNAcentral.
GGGGGUGUAAAGGUUUCGACAGGGAUUUUGAAUUACGAUAAGCGAGCGGUGGUGCGAACCACCUAAAUCAGCGCAAACUUUAAAAUUAAACGACAACUCUAAAGUUGCUCUUGCAGCUUAAUUAAGCUGCCGUCCAAUGCAGAAGUACCGCGGUCUGCUGCGGGCGUCGAUUAGCGGUGAACGUGAACCUAGCAAUGCUAAUAGCUUGGUCACGACUUAUUAGCUACUGAACACGGAAGGCUGACGGCCUCCUUACGUGUGAGGGAAAUUUGAUGACCGUCUGCGCUCGGAGAAAUUUGUAAGGAUGAAUCUUUGGACGUGGGUUCGACUCCCACCACCUUCACCA